AUAUCAAUAAGCGGAGGAAAAGAAACCAACUGGGAUUGCCCUAGUAACGGCGAGUGAAGCGGCAACAGCUCAAAUUUGAAAUCUGGCUCCCUUCGGAGGGUCCGAGUUGUAAUUUGCAGAGGGUGCUUUGGCUUUGGUUGCGGUCUAAGUUCCUUGGAACAGGACAUCACAGAGGGUGAGAAUCCCGUACGUGGUCGCGUACCAUCGCUGUGUAAAGCCCCUUCGACGAGUCGAGUUGUUUGGGAAUGCAGCUCUAAAUGGGAGGUAAAUUCCUUCUAAAGCUAAAUACCGGCCAGAGACCGAUAGCGCACAAGUA
RNAcentral lists this ribosomal RNA (316 nucleotides) under uncultured Pleosporineae. RNAcentral describes it as "partial large subunit ribosomal RNA". It matches the Rfam family "Eukaryotic large subunit ribosomal RNA", at positions 40 to 350 of the family's 3401-position model. The record is from RNAcentral. Lineage: Eukaryota; Fungi; Ascomycota; Dothideomycetes; Pleosporales.